This 497-nucleotide ribosomal RNA is filed under the name uncultured bacterium. RNAcentral's name for it is "partial 16S ribosomal RNA". It matches the Rfam family "Bacterial small subunit ribosomal RNA", at positions 28 to 507 of the family's 1533-position model. The record is from RNAcentral.
GAUGAACGCUGGCGGCGUGCCUAAUACAUGCAAGUCGAGCGAACGGACGAGAAGCUUGCUUUUCUGAUGUUAGCGGCGGACGGGUGAGUAACACGUGGAUAACCUACCUAUAAGACUGGGAUAACUUCGGGAAACCGGAGCUAAUACCGGAUAAUAUUUUGAACCGCAUGGUUCAUAAGUGAAAGACGGUCUUGCUGUCACUUAUAGAUGGAUCCGCGCUGCAUUAGCUAGUUGGUAAGGUAACGGCUUACCAAGGCAACGAUGCAUAGCCGACCUGAGAGGGUGAUCGGCCACACUAGAACUGAGACACGGUCCAGACUCCUACGGGAGGCAGCAGUAGGGAAUCUUCCGCAAUGGGCGAAAGCCUGACGGAGCAACGCCGCGUGAGUGAUGAAGGUCUUCGGAUCGUAAAACUCUGUUAUUAGGGAAGAACAUAUGUGUAAGUAACUGUGCACAUCUUGACGGUACCUAAUCAGAAAGCCACGGCUAACUACGUG